RNAcentral lists this ribosomal RNA (759 nucleotides) under uncultured Neisseriaceae bacterium. RNAcentral describes it as "bacterial SSU rRNA". It matches the Rfam family "Bacterial small subunit ribosomal RNA", at positions 28 to 776 of the family's 1533-position model. The record is from RNAcentral. Lineage: Bacteria; Pseudomonadati; Pseudomonadota; Betaproteobacteria; Neisseriales; Neisseriaceae.
AUUGAACGCUGGCGGCAUGCUUUACACAUGCAAGUCGGACGGCAGCGGGGUAGUGCUUGCACUACUGCCGGCGAGUGGCGAACGGGUGAGUAAUAUAUUGGAACGUACCGAGUAAUGGGGGAUAACCAAUCGAAAGAUUGGCUAAUACCGCAUACGCUCUGAGGAGGAAAGCAGGGGACCUUCGGGCCUUGCGUUAUUCGAGCGGCCAAUAUCUGAUUAGCUAGUUGGUGGGGUAAAGGCCUACCAAGGCGACGAUCAGUAGCGGGUCUGAGAGGAUGAUCCGCCACACUGGGACUGAGACACGGCCCAGACUCCUACGGGAGGCAGCAGUGGGGAAUUUUGGACAAUGGGCGCAAGCCUGAUCCAGCCAUGCCGCGUGUCUGAAGAAGGCCUUCGGGUUGUAAAGGACUUUUGUUAGGGAAGAAAAAGGAGCGGUUAAUACCCGUUUCUGCUGACGGUACCUAAAGAAUAAGCACCGGCUAACUACGUGCCAGCAGCCGCGGUAAUACGUAGGGUGCGAGCGUUAAUCGGAAUUACUGGGCGUAAAGCGAGCGCAGACGGUUACUUAAGCAGGAUGUGAAAUCCCCGGGCUCAACCUGGGAACUGCGUUCUGAACUGGGUAGCUAGAGUAUGUCAGAGGGGGGUAGAAUUCCACGUGUAGCAGUGAAAUGCGUAGAGAUGUGGAGGAAUACCGAUGGCGAAGGCAGCCCCCUGGGAUAAUACUGACGUUCAUGCUCGAAAGCGUGGGUAGCAAACAGG